Molecule: ribosomal RNA, 289 nt
Filed under: uncultured Acidobacteriota bacterium
Lineage: Bacteria; Pseudomonadati; Acidobacteriota
Description: uncultured Acidobacteria bacterium partial 16S ribosomal RNA
Source: RNAcentral
CUACCCGGGUAUCUAAUCCUGUUUGCUCCCCUAGCUUUCGUGCAUCAGCGUCAGUUAUGGUCCAGUGAGCCGCUUUCGCCACAGGUGUUCCUUCCGAUAUCUACGCAUUUCACCGCUACACCGGAAAUUCCACUCACCUCUCCCAUACUCAAGCCCGACAGUUUCUAAUGCAGACUCUGGGUUGAGCCCAGAGAUUUCACAUCAGACUUAUCAAACCGCCUACGCACCCUUUACGCCCAAUAAAUCCGAACAACGCUUGCCCCCCUCGUAUUACCGCGGCUGCUGGCAC